This 1661-nucleotide long non-coding RNA is filed under the name Pan troglodytes (chimpanzee). RNAcentral describes it as "long non-coding RNA NONPTRT001659". The record is from RNAcentral. Lineage: Eukaryota; Metazoa; Chordata; Mammalia; Primates; Hominidae.
CUGGUAGAUACAUCUUCAUUAAGAUGUGAGUUUUAUGCUUGUUACUGCAUAUUUUCAAUUAUGAAUUAAAGGCAAGAAUCACCGUCUUCCUGUGAAUACAUUCCCAUAAUUUAAGAAUUCCACUAAGCUACAUUCUGUCUACCAGUUUGUAAGCAAAUGUCUCUACAGACCUUUCAAGUAUUUAUAGUUGGUGCACAGUAACUCGACACUUAUUUUGUAUAAUGUUGCUCAACCGAAUGUGGGAUACUAUAAUUAUAGCAUAAUUAUUCAUAGUUACAGUAAAACUCUAAACCAUUUUAUUUAGAAUAUUUCAGCAGUGAACAGAACCUACAUGAAAGUGUGCCAAAAUAAUUUGUGAUUGUUUACUGAAAUUUAUGAGACUUGUAAUAGGCUCUGUCUGAACACAUAUGAAAAAUGUAGAUAGUGAUAGUUUCUGUAUAUGGGCUGGCUUACAGCUUCCCUACAUUCAUAUUUAUCUAUGAGUUCUGAAAAAUUGGUAAUAGAGUAUGAUUUUUUCAAUUGCAGUAAAAUAUACAUAAUAUAAAAUUUAUCAUUUUAACUAUUUUUAAAUACACAGUUGCAGUGGCAUUAAGUACACCCACACUGUUGUGCAACCAUCCUCCCCAUCCACCUCCAGAACUUUCUCAUCACCCCAAUCAGAAACUUUGUAUCCAUUAUGCACUAACUACCCAUUCUCCGUCCCCACAGGGUGGCUUAUUUCACUUCGCAUAAUGUACUCAAGGUUCAUCCAUGUCACCGCAUAUGUCAGAAUUUCCUUCCUGCGGAAGGCUGGUACUAUUCCACUGCAUGCACAGAACACACUUCCUGCAUCCAUUCAUGGGUGAAUGGGAUGACACUUGGGCUGCUUCUACCUUUUGGCUACUGUAAAUAAUGGUGUUAUAAACACUGGUGUACAAAUAUCUGUUCAAGUCCCUGCUUUCAAUUCUUUUGGGUCUAUAGCCAGAGGUGGAAUCGCUGAAUCAUAGGGUAAUUCUAUGUUGAAUUUUGUGACGAACCUCCAUAGCGUUUUCCAACAGCAGCUGAACCAUUUUACGUUCCCACAAGCAAUGCACAAACUUCCAAUUUAUCCACCUCUAAAUAGCUGAUUUUUAAGAAGAAAAAUUUGAAUUAAAAUCUUGUAAUAUGAUUUCUGGACUUGUUUCUUUUCAUCUCUCUUCUCUUUGUCACUUGCUUUUAUCACAAACCACAGAAUUUAUGAUGCAAGACUUAGUUUGAUUAGAAACCCUAAUUCCAAGAGGUCUGCUGAGGAAGAGAGACAGAGAAAGUUAAAAGUCAUAAAAGUUCAUUCAGAGUGUAUGUUGCUACAAUAAAGAACAACUGGGGGGAGGGGAGUAGUGUCACAUGACAUGGGAUCAGAGGGCAGCUUCCUCCCUGAAAUCUUAACGUCAUGCUACAUUCCUCAGCGUGCAAAGGCAAAUUCAACUCAGAAGCUGAGAAGACAAAAACAAGCUUUGAUAAUAGUCAACUAAAGGAAAGUACAUACAAAAUGAAGAAGGAAAAAUGAGUUUUGUCCUUCAGAUAGAAGCUGAGGAAAAUGUAGAUAAUGUGCACCAACAGUUUCUGUGGCCGCUUCAUGGAGAGGAAACAGGUUCAUCACUGUUCACGAAGUAGCCCAACGUCACACUGCCACCAAGCUGGAA